Oxyura jamaicensis (ruddy duck) is the source of this 3973-nucleotide long non-coding RNA. RefSeq lists it as uncharacterized. The record is from RefSeq and is a predicted model, not a curated record. The transcript is spliced from 2 exons. Lineage: Eukaryota; Metazoa; Chordata; Aves; Anseriformes; Anatidae.
CCCGCGCCUGGCGGAGCCGGGGAGGGACGUGGCCGUGCUGUCCCCCCGCAGCCGCGGCCUCGGCACCGCUGUCAGAGCCCGGAGCCCGCAGAGGUGUCUCUCUGGCAGCGGAUGCUUCGGUUCCGCGGGGUAGGGGGGGUGGGGAGGGGAGACGGUGCAUCCGUCCGUCCUUCUGUCUGUCUGUCCAUCCGCCCAUCCCUGCGUGGGCGGCGGCUCGUGGGCGUGUGUGACUGACACUGCGGCGGGGCAGCCGCCCUCCCGGGGGAAGCAGGGGGCUGGGAGGGGUACGACGACAACGCCGGCUGCUUUUUGCCCCCUGGCUGCGGCAGCCCCGUCUCCGUCCCCCGCAGCCCUCCCCGGAGGGGGCGACCUCAGCGGCCUCGCUGCUCCUCCUCCCUCCUGGCGGCCAAAAUGAACAAAGAAGUUUAGAAAAUAAUCUGCAAAGGAGCAUCACACCCCAGAAAAGGCUGCAGCAUGAAUGGCGAUACCUGUUACAUGUCAAAGAAUCCAAGCACAGAGGACUGCCAUCUUGAAGCACACAAGUUCAUGAAAGAUCUGGUUUCUUUGGGCCCAUUGCUUAUUUGCUUUAUUUGCUUUUAUGUGAGAAAUGUGAGGAAUUUUUCUAUUUUAACCAAACAUUAAACCAGAAGACAGACUCAAAAAGCUCAGGAAUGUAAUAUUUUAUCACUCCUUCUUUCUCUAAGAUAUUAUUGUUAUAAUGCAUCAUCAGCUUCCACUGCCAGUUCUUUAGAUUCAGAAGGAGAGAGUAAUUUGUCGUGCUUGUAAAGCAGCCAGUACACUCCAGUCUCUGGGCAGAUCCUGGCACCGUAGUCAUGUAAGGAGCUAAGAGUAGUUCACUAGGCGACACAGUUUUGUUGCUGUGUCAACGAAAAAACAGACCAAAAAAUUACGAGUCAUUUUUGUGGCAUCACAUAAGCUGAGUAGUACCUGAGCUACUUUCCUGAGUCCAUGGACAUUUUUAGAGGCAAACAUCCACAAUAACUGCCAGGGCAGCUCGUGAAAGUCACAGCUGCUUUGAUGUAGGUAGCGGUGUCAGUCAUCUUUUGUGCAACUGUGAGAAGGGAGCCUGUGCCCAGAAUCCCCAGUCACAGUGUCUGUCCCGGCUUCGGGUUGCACUGCAGGCUUUGGAAGACCAAAAAGCAAUUGAGAGAGGCCCACUACACCAAGCAGAGAGGAGAGCGAACACCAAGCAGUGACUCUUGGGUCUAUGAGUGAAGGGGACUUUGGUACAAAUGCCCACGGUCAAACUGAUGGUCACUUCCAGGCAGUCCCACAAUUAUGGGACUGCAAUUGUUUAAAUUAGGGUGUUUCAAGCUGCUGUUGCUGAAAUCAAAGCUUUAUGCUGGGCAUUAUAGCAGUGGUAAGCUGUCUUCAAUAUUAAAACACUUUGUGUGCCCUGAAGAAAACCAUAGGCCAUAGAGGAUCUUCUCAGAUGGUUCAUGUAAAAUGCAGAAGAACAUGGGUGGAUUGUCUUUUACAAUAAAAUAUUCACAGUUUACAUACUGUUAUACAGAAUGUCAAAAGUUCAAAAGAGGAGCUGAAACAAUAGAUGCAUGAAAAUAUAAAUGAUACUGUUUUUUCAUUCCAUAGUUCUAUUUCCAUCACUGAUGUGCCUUAACUUGAAUGUCAUUAUAAAAUCUCUUCAUUUAUAAAUGUAUUCAAUAUAUAUUAUAGACAAUAAAUUUUACAGAGAUGUAUGUGAUAAAUCGUGUAUAGUAUUUGAUGUGCAUAGGACAUACAACUCACUAUACAGUACAAUGCCACAUGCAGUACAAAUAUAUGUACUUUGUAUGAAUAUAUAAUAUUUAUAUAUUACCAUAGCUAUACAGUAAUAGUAGAUGAUAUUAACCUGUUAACCAUUAUAUAGAUAUAUGCAUAUUCUGUAUAUACAUAUAUGCCCCAUGCAGUUUCUUUCUACACCUCUUUUCAGAAGAGCCUCUCUAGGAAUGGUGUGCGCAUCUUAAUUCACUUUCUGUUUCUGUGUGCUUCAUCACAUUUUGAAUUUUUUAGUCUGAGGCAGAAAUUGAACAUAAACUACCUGCAGUUAUAAAAGUGUGAUUCUGGCCUACAGUCUGCACAAGUUUUGAUACAGCUUAGUGUCCUGCUUAAAGUGACAAAAAGCUAUGAUUUGCCCUUAGAUUAAAAGUUGGCGUAUGAUUUAUUUUUUAUGCAGACCCUGGUUUCAGUGGCACCAUUUGUUUAAAGCAAAUGAACUCCUCUGUGAGUGCUGCAGAACAAGGGCUCAGGAGUGAGUCAGGUCCCUGAUGCAGAUACAACUGUCAUCAUCCUACAUCGUUCUAGCCUCUAAGCACCUUCAGUGUAGGAAGCCCAUUAUUCAAAGUAAAAAUGUUCACUGCCACCCUCUAAGGGUAAGAAUUAAAAAUGUAUUAGUGAUAGUGAUUAAUAAUUUACAUGUGAAUUUCAAGAAGCUAGCAAAGGUUCAGAGCUGUGUGUGCAUGUAUGUGUCAGGGGGAGGGGGAAUUGUGUACUUUUCAGUGAUCUAAUUGAAGAAAUUCAACAAACCUACCCAUCUAGUGUAUGUGUGAAAAGAAGCCACAGAUUUGGUUAUUCAUUCCACAUCCAUUUGAUAGUGAGAUAGAUUUUGGGGAAGCUGCAUGUUAUACACUUUCCCCUUUGGGCUCAUAACAGUUUGCGGUCUUUUUAGUGAUUUUAAUGGAAAAUGUUUUAAAUAUUUUUCUUCACCAGAGAAAAAAGAAAAUGCUUCAAAUGUUGAAUAACUAAAGGUAUUUCUGUGAGUCUGUCCACAGACAGUUUGGGUAAGUCUCCUACUGAAUUAGGCCAUAUUCUCUACCACCACUUGUUCUGCAGUUUCAUCUGAAUGCAAAAUUUUUCACUUUCCUCUGCUACAUUACUGCUCUAUUAUGUCUUCUAACCAAAGAGUCUCUAUCUAAAGGAUCUAUGCAUCAUUCUGGCCUACAGCAUACAUAAGAUUACAUUCUGAUUACAUUUUUUUCUGGACUGAUUCCUGUUCCACACACACUGCUCAUACUUCUCUCAUUUACAUAUGUAAGCUGCUGUGGUGUGCGUGCUCCCCAUUUCCAGCAAAUAAUCAGCGUUAGCAUUAAAAUCAUAUUUGUAAUUCACCUCAGCCACUUUCUGCAAGCUUUGUAUCAACAACUAAUUGUCAGCCUGUGUCCCACCUCACCUUCACUCAUGCACGCAGAAAAGCCCAGUCACUGACAAAAAACUUUCAACCUAGUUUUGUUAGUGAAACAGAUAUGUACAUUUUUUGUUUGUGUGUGAUAAAAUUCAUAUGAUUAUGUUUAGACUGUAAAAUUUCUAAUGAUAAAAUACAGCCAAUGGGUGUCUUUCUGUUGAGGUUAGUUUUCUUUACAAGCAUCAGCCACACUUGUUCCAGACCCAAUGAAAUUCUUUCUUUUACAGCUCCUGGGGACAGAGAACACAGCACAUCCUAACAACAGCAAUAGACUCAGCUGCGAGAGAUCUCUAUCACACAUCACAGAGAAUUUGAGGCAGUUGGCAGUUAUCAGCUGUAGCAGGUAGUCAGUAGAAGUGUAGAAGAUAAAUAGAUAAUAGAAAAGCAAUCUGGAAACCUGGGAGAUAUAAUAAACCUCUGUUCUAGAGGAGAUGUAACAACUCAGGCAUGUCAGUGAUGAACUCAACUCUCAGAUCAGUACUGCAUCUAAUACUGUUGAAAAUACAGCAGCAGUUUGCUCUUUGUGUGUGUCAGGUCUGAAGUAGUACAUAGGAUGUUGUUGGAAACACAGUUUGAUAUAUUCAGUUAUAGAAAUUGCUAUCACAGUUAACUGAAGAUGGAUCAUGCUGCUGAAAAGCAGCUGACCACAAUCCCAGGGACACCGUGACCCUCCGUUAAAUUAUGCUUGCCGGAACAGAAAGCUACUUACACCCACUUCCUAUUCUACAUGCUGUUGUGUCUAUGCUGCAAGUGCAACCAUUACAUAAUGUUCCU